GAGGGUGUAGCUCAGUUAUAAGAGUGUGUGCUUAGCAUGCAUGAGGUCCUGAGUUCAAUCCCCAGUACCUCCA
RNAcentral lists this transfer RNA (73 nucleotides) under Camelus bactrianus (Bactrian camel). It matches the Rfam family "tRNA". Rfam says of the family: Transfer RNA (tRNA) molecules are approximately 80 nucleotides in length. Their secondary structure includes four short double-helical elements and three loops (D, anti-codon, and T loops). The record is from Rfam by way of RNAcentral. RNAcentral also lists the same sequence under 2 other names. Lineage: Eukaryota; Metazoa; Chordata; Mammalia; Artiodactyla; Camelidae.